AAGUCGUAACAAGGUUUCCGUAGGUGAACCUGCGGAAGGAUCAUUAUCGUACACUCAGUGUGCCCUAGAGGCCCUGCGGGGCCGCGCUUGCAAUAACCGGAAGGCCAGGAUUGUGUUCCCACCCCUUCAUAAACACUUUCCUGGAGCGCGGCUGUCUGAAUCCUUUGUCUAUGCGUACUCUCUUGUUUGCUCCCUCGGCGGGGUCACCCGUCGUUGGGUUAGCUUCCCCCACUCUUUUGCGGUAGCAGUAUACUUCUGAUGUUGGCAUAAAUCAUUACAACUUUCAACAACGGAUCUCUUGGUUCUG
Molecule: unclassified non-coding RNA, 307 nt
Filed under: fungal sp.
Lineage: Eukaryota; Fungi
Description: partial internal transcribed spacer region
Rfam family: Eukaryotic small subunit ribosomal RNA (bases 1-46)
Source: RNAcentral